Molecule: long non-coding RNA, 1685 nt
Organism: Alligator mississippiensis (American alligator)
Lineage: Eukaryota; Metazoa; Chordata; Crocodylia; Alligatoridae
Exons: 3
Source: RefSeq, a predicted model, not a curated record
GAGGCGGGGCUUGCCGCCGGCGCUCUAGGGCAUGAUGGCGCCCCUAGCGGCCGCCGUGGGAGGAGUCGGCCCAAAUUCUGUCUCCCUCCUGGGUCCUAGCCAGCCCCCGGGCUGCCAGCGCUCCUGGGCUUAUCACAAGCUUCAUAAUAUUCCGUAUUUCGUAAAGGCCCAAAGAUAUCUUGUAUUAUGCACUACCAGUCUUACUGCAGAUCUCAGGAUAUUCAUCGUUACCAGUGUAUGCCUUGAGCUGGGAGAACAACGCUUACUUCGGGAGUCUGGAGUUGGACAUCCAUCUGGAUGACAUGGCUGGUUCAGUGAAGUUGAUGUCAGAAGAUAGUUGCCUCUGUUCUUGUGGUGUUUGCUUGUGAGAGGACACUAGUAUUGGUGCAUCAAUCUUCCCACUGGGUUCGAAGGAUCUUCUGCAGGCAACAUUGAUUGUACUUCUCUAAUGAUUUGAGGUGUCUCCUGUAUUUUGUCCAUGUCUCAGCUCUGUACAGUAAGAUGGGAAUCAUAACUGCUUGAUAAAUCAUGACCUUGGUUUUGGAUAUGAUCUCACAAUCUUCAAACACCCAUUUCCUCAGGCAUCUGAAGGCUGCACUUGCACAUUUGAGGCAAUGUUGGAUGUCUUCAUAGAUGCAGCCUUCUGCAAGAGAAGGCUUUCAAGGUACAGGAAAUACUCAAUGUUCUUCAGAGUCUUGCUGUGAAUCUGAAUGACUGGAGCUGGGGACUGCUCAUUAAGAGCUUGUUGAUAGAGGGCCUUAAGCUUCUGAAUGUUAAGUGUCAGUCUCAUUUUCUUGUAUGCCUCAGUAAAGUCGUCAAUGAUUGCCUGAAGGUCUGCUUCUAAAUGAGCACCCGCUACAGCAUCAUCAGCGUACUGGAGUUCAAUGAUUGAGGUUGGGGUGGUCUUAAUAUUGGCUUAGAGUCAGCUGAGAUUAAACAGUUUACCAUCCAUUCAGUAGUUUAGCUCCAUUCAAACUGAAAGCUUGUUGGUGGUCAGAUGUAUUAUUGUGGUAAGGAAUAUCAAGAAGAGCGGUGGAGUGAUGAUGCAGCCUUAUUUAACUCCCAUCUUAAUCUCAGUGGGAUCUGUGAUAGAUCCGUUACCAGAACCACUAUUUGAAUACCAUCAUGGAGCAGGCAAAGAAUGGCGGUGAUUUUUGGUGGGCAUCAAUAUUUCAGAAGGAUCCUUCACAGUGGUUCUUGGUUGACAGAGUUGAAGGCUUUUGUGAGGUCAAAGAAGGCCAUGUAGAGAUGUUUAAUGUUGUUCCCAGUAUUUUUCCUGCAGCUAGCAAUCUGUAUAUCAUGUCAGUUGUGCCUCUUGAUGCCCUAAGCCCUCACUCCAGAAGGAGCUCUUCAGCAAGUGGAAGGAGAUGGUUCAGGAGGGUUCUUGCAAUGCUUUCCUGUAGUGGACAGCAAGGCAAUCCCUCUAUAAUUUCCACAGUUGGACUCGUCUCCUUUCUUGAAGAUUGUCACAGUCAUGGUGUCCCUGAGGUCAUCUGGGAUUUCCUCAUUGUUCAGUGGCGACGCGUAGGGGGUGCACGGGGGUGCAUGUGCACCCCCUGAGAGUGCUGGUGCACCCCCUGGAAGCAGCAUUCCCUGCUUAGGCAAUGGGCAGGGCAGGGCAAGUGAGUGCUGGUGCCCCCCUUGAGAGUGCUGGCUGGGGAGUAGGGGCGCCAGGAGAAGUGAUC